RNAcentral lists this non-coding RNA (84 nucleotides) under Lonepinella koalarum. Lineage: Bacteria; Pseudomonadati; Pseudomonadota; Gammaproteobacteria; Pasteurellales; Pasteurellaceae. The record is from RNAcentral.
UCCAAUGAUGAGCUGAAUGGGAGAUCGAAAGAUCGCCGUGAUCCUUGACUACGGUACGCCAAUCUCGUUCAGUUCAUCACCUAU